RNAcentral lists this long non-coding RNA (205 nucleotides) under Capsicum annuum. Its description in RNAcentral is "long non-coding RNA (CANN_LNC008494)". Lineage: Eukaryota; Viridiplantae; Streptophyta; Magnoliopsida; Solanales; Solanaceae. The record is from RNAcentral.
UUUGUAGACCUGAUGUACAGUCAAGGUGGUGUUUUGUUAAUAGACGUGAUGGCUCCAAUGACCAAGUAUUGUAUAUACAUAUAUAUGUGUGCUCGAGCUUAUACAGGUGAUUAUUUCCUUUUAUAUGCGACAUGAUGCUGUCCGAAUUUCAAGUUGUCAUAGAGGUACGUAUGGGAAGUAUAAGGUUAUGAGCUGGUUCUCCUGG